Molecule: ribosomal RNA, 303 nt
Filed under: uncultured bacterium
Lineage: Bacteria
Description: partial 16S ribosomal RNA
Rfam family: Bacterial small subunit ribosomal RNA
Source: RNAcentral
AGCAGUAGCCGCGGUAAUACAGAGGAUGCAAGCGUUAUCCGGAAUUACUGGGCGUAAAGCGUGCGCAGGCGGUUUCUUAAGUCUGAUGUGAAAGCCCCCGGCUCAACCGGGGAGGGUCAUUGGAAACUGGGAAACUUGAGUGCAGAAGAGGAGAGUGGAAUUCCACGUGUAGCGGUGAAAUGCGUAGAGAUGUGGAGGAACACCAGUGGCGAAGGCGACUCUCUGGUCUGUAACUGACGCUGAGGAGCGAAAGCGUGGGGAGCGAACAGGAUUAGAUACCCGAGUAGUCCCUGUCUCUUAUAC